RNAcentral lists this ribosomal RNA (484 nucleotides) under uncultured bacterium. Its description in RNAcentral is "partial 16S ribosomal RNA". It matches the Rfam family "Bacterial small subunit ribosomal RNA", at positions 30 to 507 of the family's 1533-position model. The record is from RNAcentral.
AUCGAACGCUGGCGGCAGGCUUAACACAUGCAAGUCGAGCGGAUGAAGGGUGCUUGCUCCUGGAUUUAGCGGCGGACGGGUGAGUAAUGCCUAGGAAUAUGCCUGGUUGUGGGGGAUAACGUCCGGAGACGGGUGCUGCUACCGCCUACGUCCUGAGGCUGCAAGUGGGGGAUGUUCGGAACUCUUGCUAUCAGAUGAGUCUAGGUCGGAUUGGCUAGCUGGUGGGGUGAGGGCCUACCUAGGCGACGAUUCGUAACUGGUCGGAGUGGAUGGUCAGUCACACUGGAAGUGAGACACCGUCCAUGCUACUACGGGAGGGAGCAGUGUGGAAUAUGAGGCAGUGGGCGAAAGCCUUGUCCAGCCGGGCCGCGUGUGUGGAGAAGGUCUUCGGAGUGGAAAGCACUUUAAGUUGUGAUGAAGGGCAGUAAGUUAAUACCUAGCUGUUUUGACGGUACCAACAGAAUAAGCACCGGCUAACUUCGUG